CCUACGGGGGGCAGCAGUGAGGAAUAUUGGUCAAUGGGCGGAAGCCUGAACCAGCCAAGUAGCGUGCAGGAUGACGGCCCUACGGGUUGUACACUGCUUUUAUACGGGAAUAACGCGCCUUACGUGUAGGGCCUUGCAGGUAACGUAUGAAUAAGGAACGGCUAAUUCCGUGCCAGCAGCCGCGGUAAUACGGAAGGUCCGGGCGUUGUCCGGAUUUAUGGGGUUUAAAGGGAGAGUAGGCCGCAUGGCAAGCGUGCUGUGAAAUGUCCGGGCUCAACCCGGGCCUUGCAGCGCGAACUGGCGUGCUUGAGUCCGCGGAAAGCAGGCGGAAUUCGUCGUGUAGCGGUGAAAUGCUUAGAUAUGACGAAGAACCCCGAUUGCGAAGGCAGCUUGCUGCAGCGGAACUGACGCUGAUGCUCGAAAGCGCGGGUAUCGAACAGGAUUAGAUACCCCAGUAGUC
Molecule: ribosomal RNA, 460 nt
Filed under: uncultured bacterium
Lineage: Bacteria
Description: partial 16S ribosomal RNA
Rfam family: Bacterial small subunit ribosomal RNA
Source: RNAcentral